GACGAACGCUGGCGGCGUGCUUAACACAUGCAAGUCGAACGGAAAGGCCCUGCUUGCAGGGUACUCGAGUGGCGAACGGGUGAGUAACACGUGGGUGAUCUGCCCUGCACUUCGGGAUAAGCCUGGGAAACUGGGUCUAAUACCGGAUAGGAGCCAUUUUUAGUGUGAUGGUUGGAAAGUUUUUUCGGUGUAGGAUGAGCUCGCGGCCUAUCAGCUUGUUGGUGGGGUAAUGGCCUACCAAGGCGGCGACGGGUAGCCGGCCUGAGAGGGUGGACGGCCAAAUUGGGACUGAGAUACGGCCCAGACUCCUAAGGGAGGCAGCAGUGGGGAAUAUUGCACAAUGGGCGCAAGCCGGAUGCAGCGACGCCGCGUGGGGGAUGACGGCCUUCGGGUUGUAAAAUCCUUUCGCUAGGGACGAAGCUUUUUGUGACGGUACCUAGAGAAGAAGCACCGGCUAACUACGUG
Molecule: ribosomal RNA, 465 nt
Filed under: uncultured bacterium
Lineage: Bacteria
Description: partial 16S ribosomal RNA
Rfam family: Bacterial small subunit ribosomal RNA
Source: RNAcentral